This 49-nucleotide transfer RNA is filed under the name Lejeunea pulchriflora. Its description in RNAcentral is "partial tRNA-Phe". It matches the Rfam family "tRNA", at positions 1 to 48 of the family's 71-position model. Rfam says of the family: Transfer RNA (tRNA) molecules are approximately 80 nucleotides in length. Their secondary structure includes four short double-helical elements and three loops (D, anti-codon, and T loops). Lineage: Eukaryota; Viridiplantae; Streptophyta; Jungermanniopsida; Porellales; Lejeuneaceae. RNAcentral also lists the same sequence under 1 other name. The record is from RNAcentral.
GCCGGGAUAGCUCAGUUGGUAGAGCAGGGGACUGAAAAUCCUCGUGUCC